UACGGAGGAUCCAAGCGUUAUCCGGAUUCAUUGGGUUUAAAGGGUGCGUAGGCGGAAUGGUAAGUCAGUGGUGAAAGCCCUUCGCUUAACGAAGGAACUGCCUCUGAUACUGCCAAUCUUGAGUACAUUUGAUGUGGGCGGAAUGUGUCAUGUAGCGGUGAAAUGCUUAGAUAUGACACAGAACACCGAUUGCGAAGGCAGCUCACAAAACUGUAACUGACGCUGAGGCACGAAAGCGUGGGGAUCAAACAGG
This 253-nucleotide ribosomal RNA is filed under the name uncultured bacterium. RNAcentral's name for it is "partial 16S ribosomal RNA". It matches the Rfam family "Bacterial small subunit ribosomal RNA", at positions 524 to 776 of the family's 1533-position model. The record is from RNAcentral.